This 433-nucleotide ribosomal RNA is filed under the name uncultured bacterium. Its description in RNAcentral is "partial 16S ribosomal RNA". It matches the Rfam family "Bacterial small subunit ribosomal RNA", at positions 29 to 507 of the family's 1533-position model. The record is from RNAcentral.
AACGAACGCUGGCGGCAGGCCUAACACAUGCCAGUCGAGCGAGCAUUUCGGUGCUAGCGGCGGACGGGUGAGUAACGCGUGGGAACGUGCCCUUUUCUGCGGAAUAGUCCUGGGAAACUGGGGGUAAUACCGCAUACGCCCUUUUGGGGAAAGAUUUAUCGGAGAAGGAUCGGCCCGCGUUGGAUUAGGUAGUUGGUGGGGUAAUGGCCCACCAAGCCGACGAUCCAUAGCUGGUUUGAGAGGAUGAUCGGCCACACUGGGACUGAGACACGGCCCAGACUCCUACGGGAGGCAGCAGUGGGGAAUCUUAGACAAUGGGGGCAACCCUGAUCUAGCCAUGCCGCGUGAGUGAUGAAGGCCUUAGGGUUGUAAAGCUCUUUCAGCUGGGAAGAUAAUGACGGUACCAGCAGAAGAAGCCCCGGCUAACUCCGUG